RNAcentral lists this ribosomal RNA (425 nucleotides) under uncultured bacterium. RNAcentral describes it as "partial 16S ribosomal RNA". It matches the Rfam family "Bacterial small subunit ribosomal RNA", at positions 354 to 796 of the family's 1533-position model. The record is from RNAcentral.
GUGAGGAAUUUUCCGCAAUGGGCGAAAGCCUGACGGAGCAAUGCCGCGUGAAGGAUGAAGGCCUAUGGGUUGUAAACUUCUUUUCUCAGAAAAGAAUUAUGACGGUAUCUGAGGAAUAAGCAUCGGCUAACUCUGUGCCAGCAGCCGCGGUAAGACAGAGGAUGCAAGCGUUAUCCGGAAUGAUUGGGCGUAAAGCGUCUGUAGGUUGUUUAAAAAGUAUUCUGUCAAAGAUUAGGGCUUAACCCUAGAUAGGCAGAAUAAACUUUUAAGCUAGAGUGUGGUAGAGGCAGAGGGAAUUCCCGGUGGAGCGGUGAAAUGCGUAGAUAUCGGGAGGAACACCAAAGGCGAAGGCACUCUGCUGGGCCAAUACUAACACUGAGAGACGAAAGCGAGGGGAGCAAAUGGGAUUAGAUACCGGGUAGUCC